RNAcentral lists this ribosomal RNA (381 nucleotides) under uncultured eukaryote. RNAcentral's name for it is "SSU rRNA". It matches the Rfam family "Eukaryotic small subunit ribosomal RNA", at positions 587 to 969 of the family's 1831-position model. The record is from RNAcentral.
AGCUCCAAUAGCGUAUAUUAAAGUUGUUGCAGUUAAAAAGCUCGUAGUUGGAUUUGUGGUGUGUCCAGUCGGCCUUUGCUCUCUGAGUGAUUGCGCUGCACUGGUCUGCCAUGUUUGGGUGGAAUCUGUGUGGCAUUAAGUUGUCGUGCAGGGGAUGCCCAUCGUUUACUGUGAAAAAAUUAGAGUGUUCAAAGCAGGCUUAUGCCGUUGAAUAUAUUAGCAUGGAAUAAUGAUAUAGGACCUUGGUACUAUUUUGUUGGUUUGCGCACUAAGGUAAUGAUUAAGAGGGACAGUUGGGGGUAUUUGUAUUCCAUUGUCAGAGGUGAAAUUCUUGGAUUUUUGGAAGACAAACUACUGCGAAAGCAUUUACCAAGGAUGUUU